RNAcentral lists this unclassified non-coding RNA (333 nucleotides) under soil metagenome. RNAcentral describes it as "partial contains 5.8S ribosomal RNA, internal transcribed spacer 2, and large subunit ribosomal RNA". The stretch from base 1 to 120 matches the Rfam family "5.8S ribosomal RNA", at positions 35 to 154 of the family's 154-position model. The record is from RNAcentral.
GAUGAAGAACGUAGCGAAAUGCGAUAAGUAAUGUGAAUUGCAGAAUUCAGUGAAUCAUCGAAUCUUUGAACGCACAUUGCGCCCCCCAGUAUUCUGGCGGGCAUGCCUGUUCGAGCGUCAUUUCAACCAUCAAGCCCUGCUUGUGUUGGGGUCCUGCGGCUGCCCGCAGGCCCUGAAAACCAGUGGCGGGCUCGCUAGUCACACCGAGCGCAGUAGCACAUCUCGCUCAGGGCGUGCGGCGGGCUCCAGCCGUUAAAGCACCCACCUUUCGCAAGGUUGACCUCGGAUCAGGUAGGAAUACCCGCUGAACUUAAGCAUAUCAAUAAGCGAGGA